RNAcentral lists this ribosomal RNA (460 nucleotides) under uncultured bacterium. RNAcentral describes it as "partial 16S ribosomal RNA". It matches the Rfam family "Bacterial small subunit ribosomal RNA", at positions 338 to 795 of the family's 1533-position model. The record is from RNAcentral.
CCUACGGGUGGCAGCAGUGAGGAAUAUUGGUCAAUGGGCGGAAGCCUGAACCAGCCAAGUCGCGUGAGGGAAUAAGGCCCUACGGGUCGUAAACCUCUUUUGCCGGGAAGCAAGGGCGGGGACGUGUCCAGGCCCGGAGAGUACCCGGAGAAAAAGCAUCGGCUAACGCGGUGCCAGCAGCCGCGGUAAUACGGAGGAUGGGAGCGUUAUACGGUUUUAUUGGGUUUACAGGGGUCGUAGGCGGGCUUUUAAGUCAGCGGUAAAAAUUCGGGGCUCAACCCCGUCCGGCCGUUGAAACUGGGUGCCUUGAGUGGGCGAGAAGAAGGCGGAAUGCGUGGUGUAGCGGUGAAAUGCAUAGAUAUCACGCAGAACCCCGAUUGCGAAGGCAGCCUUCCGGCGCCCUACUGACGCUGAGGCACGAAAGUGCGGGGAUCGAACAGGAUUAGAUACCCUUGUAGUC